Anas platyrhynchos (mallard) is the source of this 8037-nucleotide long non-coding RNA. RefSeq lists it as uncharacterized. Lineage: Eukaryota; Metazoa; Chordata; Aves; Anseriformes; Anatidae. The record is from RefSeq and is a predicted model, not a curated record.
AGCCUUCUUUCACUUCAUCUUGAGAAGUUCCUACGUUCUGAGAAACGUUUGUCACAGUACACUGCAGAGGGAUCUUCACUCCAGUGAAGUCUGUUUAUCCAGUGAAGUCCUGUGGGAUACUUUAAAGAAAGAACUCUUGCCUCAUUUAGCUGAUGGAAAGUAAGGGAAAUAAAAAGCAAAAAGAGGAAAAGAGAUAAGAGGACGGAUGCAUGAUCAGACGAGGGAACACAGAAUGGAACAUGCAAAUGGAAAAGAAAUAGAAAAAUGGAGCUGAGCGUAAAGGGACCCAGAAAACUUGCAGCAAAAGAAAUGAGUAAGGCAGCACCUGGAAUCAACCAGCAAUCUCUGCAAGAAGUCUAAGGAACCAGGUAUCCUAGAAUUGGAAACUAACCGAGGGUGGAAGGAACUGCUGGAGAUCAUCUAGUUUAACCCCAGCUCCUGAAGCAGGCUCAGCUAGAGCAGGUCGCACAGGACUGUCAUUGGGUUUUGAGUAUCCCCAAGGAUGAAGAUUCCACAGGCUCUCUAGACUACCUGCUUCAUCUCUCAUCUUCCUACUGGGUACCACUGAGAAGAGUGUGGCUCCAGUGUCUUUACAUGCUCCCAUCAGUGACUAAGCAUCUAAUUUGAAUCAACUGUGGGAGAAAAGAGGAUUGAAGGAACUGUGACAGCUGGAAACUUCUUGAAUGAAACCAGUUCUGAUACUUGUGCAGCAUUUGGCACCUACUGUAAACAUACCAAUGGCUUUCCAUUGCUACAGAAGGGAUAGAUGCAAUGCCUUGCCUGUGUAUGAAGCUAUAGUCUAUAACUGCAAAACAGACGAAUGUUAUUGCCCCUUCUGGAUCACUGCUUAUCUUCUGAUCAUACAGUCAGGUAAGUGUUUUCUCUGUACGUAGAGAAAGAACACUUUAAAGUCUCUACACUAAUCCUAGGCUGAACAUUAGUUGCAGUAGCAAAAACACUUUCUAAGCUGGUAUGAAAUGUUUUUCUCUUGUCUGCUUAAGAAACCUUAACCUACUCCCUGGUUGUCAGUUCGUACUUACCUCAAUAAAUGUGAAGUAAUUAUAGUGAUAUGCCUAGAGAUUAUUAUGCAGUUUUCUUUGACAGCUGGGAGCAGCUGCGCUAUAAGCAGAGAAAGAAAGAAAGUGAAGAAUCAAGGCUUCCUAGCUAGACCAAUGCACAUCAUGUGUUCCCUGGAGAAACUAAUUUCUCCUGCUAUUUCUCAUUGCAUGGCUUACCCAGCAUGUCUCAAGCCACAUCUAAUUAUCAUGUCUACCUUUCAUUUAGGCCAAAGAGGCACUAUUAUACUGGACAAAGCAUGCAUCCUAUUUCUACAUUGAUAGCAUUACUUCUCCUCUUCUAUCUGAGUUUUUACCAAAUCUGUUUCUUCAGCUGUAUCUCACCUGACUCACAGCUUGGCAUGUGAAUGCACGUUUCUAGCUCACUAAAGUGGCUUCCAGUGCUUCUGAUACUUUCUUACGACACUUACAGAAUACAUUUAUUAUUUAUGUUUCUAUUAUUUUCUUGCUACCUUCUUUUUUCUAUGCUCUUUCUCCUAUCACCUGUUUGGAGACAAAGUAGGCAUCAAAACUUGGUCUCUUAACCAUUUCUCUCAGCGCUAUGCUAUUAAAGUGUGACUUGUAUAGUGUAGACAAAUAUAGAUGUAGACAAAAGAUUUACAAAAUGUGGUACACAUAGAUCUUGAACUCACUCUGAAGCAUAAUGCAAGAUUUCUUUUUCCUACUCUACCUGUUAAACCUAUUUGCCUUUGCUAAACAGUAUACCUUAGCUUUUGAAGAUACUUGCUUGAGAACUAGCACAUGUAGAGGACAGUAUGAAAGACUAGGACAGCUUUGGUAUUUGGAGAACUCAAAAAAAAACACACCAACAAACAACCUCAAAAGAAAACACCGUAGUUGUGUAGUGCUUCUUUACAGAACUUGUGUUAGUUGCUAUGAGUGGAAUAUAUAUGUUAGAGAGGACAGACAGCUCUUUUCCUGUCCACUGCUUUGAAUCAUUCUUUCACACUACCUGGUUCACCUUUUAGCAUUCUGAAUUUGGAGUGGACAAAUCUGAGACACCUCACAUAAAAGACAGGCAUACAAAGCUCUGCCAUUGUUUUUGAAAAUGAAUGACUAUUAUUCUUUUCCUUUUGAAUUCCAGAAGUGCCUUCAAUAUCAUGUUUUAGUUGUAACUGGGAGAAAAGCCAACGAGCAAGACCAGGAAGAGACUGGAAUUAACAUCAUUUUAUGAUUCCAAGGAGCCACUAGCCUUAUAAGGAUUCUGCUCUGACAUACUAGGGAAGGCAGAUCUACCCACACUGAAACCUCUCCUAUUUUCUCCCUAUUUCAAUGUCUCCUAAAAAGUUAAAAGCAGGUAGGCCUGUGGAUGAUGCAACUCUCAGGACCAAGCCUCCUUUUCCUAAAGUCAGUCUAGCAUUUGCCAAAGGGUUAAAGAAACCUUGCCUUUUUGAGAAAUUAGGAGUUUUGCUAAUUAAUCACUUUAACAUUUAUCUCUAAGGGAAGAGAUCUCUGGAUUCCCCUAGGUACUCCAAAGGAUUGGAAGCAAGGACAGAAGAUUCAGGAUGUAAAAGUAAGUAUAUAAAGCUGCAUUUUCUGUAUCUAGAAUACGAUUUCAGAGUCAGCUCUUUUCUCUUUAGACUUUUGUCAAGUCUUCAUUGAUUUUGAUACCAAAUAAUUUUUGUUAACAAUGGCACUUGAUGCCGUACAUACCAGGAAACAUCUUUAUCUUGGACAAAACCAUUCUUAAUUAAGGCUCCUAUAUCCAAAGUCACCUUGUGCAAUUUCAGUUUAAGCUGAAUGUCUCGUCUGUACUAUGCCCUGUAGCAUUCCUUGAAUACAUGAAGAGAGGCAGACACCUCUAGGGCUGAGCCACUUGCAUCAGGAGAGGUUAUCAAUUAAUUCUGUACAGUCUCACAACACUGCAUAUAUGUUAAGUGGCAUAGCUGUGGACUGUACUCCCAAAUGCUAGAUGCUUACCUAUAUUAAGUUGGUAUCAACGACAAACAGUUUUAGAUAUAGAAGUACACCAUCCCCACACCAAAUCUCAAGAAAAGGUAGGUACCGUUACUGAAUUCUAGCAAAAUUUUAAUGUUUUGUUCUAAGGAAAGUAAAGAUCAUGCAGGCCAGUUUCUUAGGUAUGACAGCUUUAGCUUAGAUACUCACUUUUUUGUUGCUUAUUAAAUCAUAACAACUUCCUGUACUCUUUGGUAGUCACACAAGCAACAUCUAAGGCUUGUUUUUGCUGCUUACUGUAUUGACAAGUUAUAUGGAUUGUGUUUCUAUUCUUUCAAUACUAAAAUACUCUCUGAGAUAGUAACUCUGUCUUGCCAGGCAUGGAGGAGUGCAAAAUAUUCACUGAUACGUGAAAUUUUAGACAAUUCUGUAGAUGUGUACUUUUCACUUACCUUCAUAGAUCAGGGAGUAUUUCGAAGUGAUCUAGCUGAUAAGUAGCAGUUUCAACACCAGUCAGAAGGAAGCUGUUUCAGCAGUGAUGGCUACUUGAUCUCCGGCUGUUGCUGCUGUUCAAAUGAUGAUUGUUUUCAAUUGGAUGGUGCCUGCUGACCUCUAACCCCUUGAAAGGAAGAGAAGUGAAGGCAUAGAAAGUAGGGUAAGUAGACUUGUUUCUUAGAUGGAUGCAUACCCCCAACCCAUGCCUCAAAAGGUUAAAAUAACAUAAGAUAGAAAAGUUAUUAAAGAGAAGAAAGUGGAGGCCAGUGCUUAUUUUAGCAGUCCCUAGCUAAAACCAAACUAACUUGCGUAUGUGACAGAUACAAAUAAUACAUCAGCCUUCUAAACUUUGGAAAAAAACCUGUUCUUUCCCCAGUACAAAGGGCUGUCCCUUCAGUUGCCGUAUUUUAAAACAAGACAGAGUAAAUCGAGAAAAGGCAAGGAGUCCUGUAUUUGAUGGGUACCAUAGGACUACGUAGUAUUUACAGGCUCCCACUUUUUCCUACACACAUAUAAUAUGAUGGACUCUCUCUGUGGCUAUUGAGGAGCAAGUUAUAGAAAACUUUUUGGGGGUGGUGGUGUGGAGGCAGAGAUUGUGUUGAGCAAAAAGUUGGGUGGGACUUAUUCACUUUCACCAUUCAGACUUUUCAGUCUCUAUUGACAUCUAUACAUAAAAACAGAAGUUAUGGUAUUAAUUUUGUUCUUGAAUUAUGAAUAGGUUAUACAGGUAUAUCUCCUUCGUGAUUCAAACACGCAAGGAAAGAUCUAGUCUUGGGCAUCUACUCUCAAGAGUCUUGAAUGUUUUAAUAACAAGUGACAGGAAACGUAGCCUGCAGAAAAAGUUGAUGGAAUAGAAAACAGUACAAUGUCUAAAGUGGACACAGUAUAUUAGGGUACGUUUCCCUUAACCCAGGCAUAAGUAGAACAUGAAAAGUUACAAAAGUUCUUUACCUGAUAUCAUGCUUUCUUCUUCUGUCCUGUAAGACUGGGCCUGUUCAGUUGUAGUUCCACAAGAAUGAACCGUCUAUAUUUUCUCUUCUUGUAGCUGCUAGGUAUAUACGAAGUAUAUACAAUAAGUCAUUUGCAGUUGUUAUAAUUGCCAACAGCAUUGUCUUAUGAACUGAUAACUCAUUUACUUAAACAUUACUUCUAAGUGGAGUAGAUUAGAACUUAAGUCCAUUUUUUUGUGUGUGCACUAUAAUUACUGACUUAGUGAUGCUGGUUAACCAAUAAGGUAAAUGACAUUUAUGAAUACACACAACCAAUCAAUUUUCUCUAUCAGUCAGUAACUACAGUGACUUGCAGGAAAAGUUGGGAAGGCAGUGCUGGAACAAGUCUCUUCAAGGAGGACAAAAAGAAAUCUGUGGAGUUCUUACCUUACAAUUCAUCCUCAUACUCAGAUUUUCAGUCCUUUCAUAUUUAACUGUCAGGAUUUUUCUAAGGACUCCUGUUUUAAAACACUUUCCUCUGCAGUAUCUCAGUUUCAAGCCAAUGGCUUUUAAUCACAUGCCUAACUUUCUUAAUCACACGGUUACCAUUCGUUAAGAAAAAUUCCAGUCAUUAAUGGAGCCUACUUGAAGGUAUUUACUAUAUUUUGAUCUGACGUACAUAUCUUACAAGAGGAGGAUAGACCUGUUGGAAAAAGAUAGAGCUGUUAAAUGAUCUUUAGUCUUGAAGAGAGGAUUUUAGCUGUGAGUACAACAUUCUAUAAUUUUAUUAGUCAAAUGGGAGAAGUACAAAGAAUGAACAAGAACUAAAUGUGACUUCAAAUCUUUGUAUGCAUAAAUCUAAAAAGUAAGCUGAAUGCAACCUAAAGAGAAGGCUAACUCUUGUUCUACUUAUUUUAGAGUAUAUAUAAACCAAUUCAAACAGUAAGUACACUUUUGCCUAUGUUUCUACAGUAAGACCAAGGUAGAGCUCACUGUAGAAGCUUUUUUACUGCAUGCGUCUUGGAUAUGAAUUUUUCCCAACACAAUAUACUCAGAGCCUGUUCCAGUUCCCCUUUUUGGGCUCCGUCUCAAUUUAUUAGCUGUGUUCCUUGUGACUGGAAUAAGCAAGUCUUGAGCCAAAUGGCUGUCCUAAAGCCCUAAUUAUCUUCAAAUUUGGGCCAAAGUGCUUAUUGGUCUACAUAUUAAAGACAAAAACAACCAAAACCUCAAGAUUUAGGGAUACUCAUUCCUUUUUUCAGCUGAAACUUGUUAAGACUAGUACUUUGUGUUUGUUUUUUUUUCUUUUCCCUCAGAAGCUUGAUUGUUAAAUAGAUAUAAGUAAAUUUGCUAGACAUUUGACAACGUUAUUUCCAUCUUCCACCAUAUUAGGAAGAUGCGUCUGCUGCCACAGUUUGCUGUACUAGAAACAGAGUCAAUUACAGAAGGAAAUUAGAAGUUGACACAAAGGUCGGAGAGUAGGUGAACAAGGGAAGAGAAGUUCUGAAAUUACAGAGCUCUUGCAAUUAAGGUCUGAUAGUCCUUCUUUUAUGGGUCAUGGGAGCUGUGGCAGUUUUGAUAAAUGAUUUAACUUUUAUAACAGAUCUAUCAAGGAUAGCAAUGGCAGAGGAAAAAGUUCUCUUUACAAAAAUCACUUACAAGAAAGGAGUCACAAAGUUCCUUCAGCUUCCUUAACCUCAUUGAAUCUGGGUAAUUCAACUGCCACUCUCAGCCUCAAAGUUCUUAUUCUAGGAACACAUCUAAUAUUUGCCAAACCACUGGUAAAUCUAUAUACUGUCACAUUUGACAAAAGAGUGUAAGUUUCAAAUUACAGCACAAGUAACUCCUGAUUUAGGAUGCAAAACACGAAAUAAUACAUCACACUAGCUUUAAUGAAAAUCAAACCCCACAGAAAUUCUAGGCACACCUCAUAUACCACAUCCUCACCUUCCAGUGGUGCUCUGCGUAAAACACUCCCCAUGCUCUGGAUUUUGGUUCUGUUUAGAAACUGAUAAUAAUAAAAAAAAAAUUAAUAGCAUCCUUAUACUACUAAGUUGGUCGUAAUACUCUUGUGCGUUGUCUUACUUUGGAUUCAUAUUGCUACUGAAAGGAACUGGUCACUUCACUGUAGAAGGAACUAUACUUUUCCAUUAUUACAAAGUUCCAGACAAACAGAACUGAAUUACUGUUCUUUCUGAAGGACAGAAAGAAGUGGGUGGGGAGCAAGGAUUACAGUUAAAUGCUGACCUAAAAAUAAAAAUAAGUCCCACAACCAAAAAAACCCUUCCUUUCCCUUUUAGCUAAACAGAAUAAUCUGUGCAUUUUUACAAUAGCUGUACUUACUUUUGUGGAUUCAUUGUGUGGAAGCUUGCCUCUUUAAAGCAUUAGACAAAACUAUAAUGCAGCAGAAUCUAGGGCUGCGUUAGGUGUGAAUCAUUUUCAUAAUAAAAAGGUUAAAAAAAAAAAGUCUGUCAAGCCCUGAUAAAACAUAAAGCAUAUUUCAAGACUAAGGAAAAGAUCUUGACUAAAGUGACAAAGACAUGCAGCAUGCUGCAGUAGUAUAUUUGCAAUCUACCUGGGAACUCUUCUUAAUGUUAAGCAUCACAAGGCAGAGUCAGAGAGAAAAAAACAUUAUUAAAUGAAUUAAGUUCAUGAACUUAUAAACCCAUACAACAGGACAACCUAAAUACAGUACUAUUUUUCCAAGAGUCCUUGAGACCGAUCAGUUUAAAUUCUGAAAUUUAUUUCAAGUCUUUCUCAUCCCAGGUGUAAGAUUGAGAGUUUCUUUUUUUUUUUUGUAUGUUCACUUAUAAAUGGCACUCUACUGUGAAGCAGAAGACCCGAGCUGAUUAAGCCUGAGUGCUCUAAUUUCUUGAAGCAAAGGGUGAGUACUGCUUUUUUCCCCUCAUGCCUUCCAUAGUGCUCUGGGUGAACACUAGAAGAAACAGAGUGCUCAGCUUUCAAGGCAGUUGCCAUCUUAAACACCAAUGCACAGAACAGCUAAAAAGCACUUUACAGCUCAUUCCAAAGUUCAGUUGUCAAGUCUGUGGAGACUCUUCCUGCUUAUUCUAGCUUCUUUUUGUUUUUCCUUCUUUGACAGAAAACACAGCAUCUAAAAGCUUUCUCUCUCUUCAUCAGUCUAGCAUGUCUCUCCCUAGAGCCUUUUGUCCUCAGGAAGAUGGCAGCGACUUGCAAAAGCCUUCAGCCACACCAGGGAGGGGAGGAGAUAAAACAUACCCUGUGUGUGAUAAAGCCAGGGGCAGGAAGAGGGCACCCACUGUCAGUGGAGCCUGCACAGUGUCCCAAUAAGUUCAAACAGGAGAAAAAAGAAACAAGACUUCAUAUUUUUCAGAUUUGCAGCUUUUAAUACCUCCAGAAGCCUCAGCAAACACCUCUGAGCAGGAAGCAGAGCAGAGUUGGUAUUUGCUGUAAAAGUUAAAUUGAGCUCCAGAGGACAGAUGAGAAUUAGUCCAAAAAGGCAUUCUUGACACAAAGUGUUAGCUAAAAUCACAAAAGUCAAGGUGGGAUAUUUGUUGUCACAGGACUGCUGUACCCCGAAACACACAUGCACACCUGCAGAGAUACCUGAAUCUUGCCUGUGGCACCUCAAUCACCAAACUUGUCAAUAAAAAAAUGAAACAGCA